This 353-nucleotide ribosomal RNA is filed under the name Pseudomonas sp. RNAcentral describes it as "bacterial SSU rRNA". It matches the Rfam family "Bacterial small subunit ribosomal RNA", at positions 1064 to 1416 of the family's 1533-position model. Lineage: Bacteria; Pseudomonadati; Pseudomonadota; Gammaproteobacteria; Pseudomonadales; Pseudomonadaceae. The record is from RNAcentral.
GUCGUGAGAUGUUGGGUUAAGUCCCGUAACGAGCGCAACCCUUGUCCUUAGUUACCAGCACGUAAUGGUGGGCACUCUAAGGAGACUGCCGGUGACAAACCGGAGGAAGGUGGGGAUGACGUCAAGUCAUCAUGGCCCUUACGGCCUGGGCUACACACGUGCUACAAUGGUCGGUACAAAGGGUUGCCAAGCCGCGAGGUGGAGCUAAUCCCAUAAAACCGAUCGUAGUCCGGAUCGCAGUCUGCAACUCGACUGCGUGAAGUCGGAAUCGCUAGUAAUCGCGAAUCAGAAUGUCGCGGUGAAUACGUUCCCGGGCCUUGUACACACCGCCCGUCACACCAUGGGAGUGGGUU